UAGAGUUUGAUCAUGGCUCAGAUUGAACGCUGGCGGCAGGCCUAACACAUGCAAGUCGAGCGGCAGCACGAGGAAGCUUGCUUUCUUGGUGGCGAGCGGCGGACGGGUGAGUAAUACAUGGGAAUCUGCCCGAUAGUGGGGGACAACGUUUCGAAAGGAACGCUAAUACCGCAUACGUCCUACGGGAGAAAGCAGGCUUAGGCUUGCGCUAUCGGAUGAGCCCAUGUCGGAUUAGCUUGUUGGUGAGGUAAUGGCUCACCAAGGCGACGAUCCGUAACUGGUCUGAGAGGAUGAUCAGUCACACCGGAACUGAGACACGGUCCGGACUCCUACGGGAGGCAGCAGUGGGGAAUAUUGGACAAUGGGGGCAACCCUGAUCCAGCCAUGCCGCGUGUGUGAAGAAGGCCUUCGGGUUGUAAAGCACUUUCAGCGAGGAGGAAAGCAGUAAGGUUAAUACCCUUACUUGUGUGAACGUACUCG
RNAcentral lists this ribosomal RNA (480 nucleotides) under Oceanospirillaceae bacterium S-C24. RNAcentral's name for it is "bacterial SSU rRNA". It matches the Rfam family "Bacterial small subunit ribosomal RNA", at positions 1 to 481 of the family's 1533-position model. Lineage: Bacteria; Pseudomonadati; Pseudomonadota; Gammaproteobacteria; Oceanospirillales; Oceanospirillaceae. The record is from RNAcentral.